This 497-nucleotide ribosomal RNA is filed under the name uncultured bacterium. RNAcentral describes it as "partial 16S ribosomal RNA". It matches the Rfam family "Bacterial small subunit ribosomal RNA", at positions 28 to 507 of the family's 1533-position model. The record is from RNAcentral.
GAUGAACGCUGGCGGCGUGCCUAAUACAUGCAAGUCGAGCGAACGGACGAGAAGCUUGCUUCUCUGAUGUUAGCGGCGGACGGGUGAGUAACACGUGGAUAACCUACCUAUAAGACUGGGAUAACUUCGGGAAACCGGAGCUAAUACCGGAUAAUAUUUUGAACCGCAUGGUUCAAAAGUGAAAGACGGUCUUGCUGUCACUUAUAGAUGGAUCCGCGCUGCAUUAGCUAGUUGGUAAGGUAACGGCUUACCAAGGCAACGAUGCAUAGCCGACCUGAGAGGGUGAUCGGCCACACGGGAACUGAGAAACGGUCCAGACUCCUACGGGAGGCAGCAGUAGGGAAUCUUCCGCAAUGGGCGAAAGCCUGACGGAGCAACGCCGCGUGGGUGAUGAAGGUCUUCGGAUCGAAAAACUCUGUUAUUAGGGAAGAACAUAUGUGUAAGUAACUGUGCACAUCUUGACGGUACCUAAUCAGAAAGCCACGGCUAACUACGUG